This 2391-nucleotide long non-coding RNA is filed under the name Oryctolagus cuniculus (rabbit). RNAcentral's name for it is "lncRNA (ENSOCUG00000036308.1)". The record is from RNAcentral. Lineage: Eukaryota; Metazoa; Chordata; Mammalia; Lagomorpha; Leporidae.
UUCUGCUGGUUCACUCCCCAAAUGGCCGCAAUGGCUAGAGCUUGGCUGAUCUGAAACCAGGAGCCAGGAGUUUGUUCCAGGUCUCCCAUGCGGGUGCAGGGGCCCAAGCACUUGGGCCAUCUUCCACUGCUUUUCCAGGCCACAGCAGAGAGCUGGAUCAGAAGUGGAGCAGCCGGGACUCGAACCGGCGCCCGUAUGGGCUGCGGCUUUAACCUGCUGCAUCACAGCGCUGGCCCCUCCAGAAAUGCUCUUCUAACCCCUCCACUUCCGUCUUCCCACCCAUGUGUGGGUCGGACACGCCUUCUCCCUUGCCUGGUCUCUGUGCUCCACGCAGAAGCCACAGUGACGCUAACAGAGCCCCCCGCUGCGGCCCUGCCAAGUCCCCAGGCCCUGUGCACCCGCCCCCAGCUUCAGGCUGUGUCGUGCUCCCCUGCACUGGACUCUGCUGCCUCCGGGCCUUUGCACGCCCUGUGCCCUGCUCUCGGAGCGCCCUUCGCUCUCUCCCGCCCCUCAAACGUGGCUGCUGGGGACCCCCCCCCGCAUCUUGGCACAGCGUGUCAUUACUGCUGCUCAGGUCUGAGUGUCAGACCCGCCAGGACUGGACGCGGCCUGCCCGGCUCCCCGCCGCCCGGGGCUCAGGAGUUGUUAAGGGAACUGGGAGUGCGGGGGGUGGCUGGGACUCCGGGGUCCCCGGGCAAACGCUGAGCUGGAGGCUUAGCACACCUGGCUCCCUUCUCUUGGUCUCUACAGGCCCGACCCUGGGCCCCGGGGCCAUUGCUGGCGUCGUCCUGGGCACCCUGCUGGGCCUGGCCCUGCUGGCCGGGCUCCUCGUCCUGUGCGUCUGCUGCCUGCGCCGCUUCCGGGACAAGACGCCUCCGAAGCGGCCUCCCGCCCUGGCCCCCGUGGCCUCCCCGCCCGAGAAGACGCUCCCGAGUGUGGCCCCUGCGCAGCCCCCGCGGCCUCUGGGCUGCAGAGCCCCGCCCGCGGCCCCUGUCCCAGCCAUAGACCUUCCAGGCCCCGGGCCCCGGGCCAGUGCUCUCGCCCCGCGGAGGCCCGAGGACGGUGCGGACGGUGCGGACGGCCACGCAGGUGUGAGGCGGGCGACUUCCUGUUUCUCCCCGAGCCUGCGGGACCAGAGCUGGGACCCAGGAGCGAGACUCCGGCCCCUCCCCCCACGCCCACGGGAGACGGCCCAGCUGACGUGGGCGGGGCCGGGCCCUGCUGCCCGCAGCCAGGCAGGUGCCUGCGAGGGGGCUGGCGCGGCCUCGGACAAGUGCCCCCAGCCCGCCCCGCGCCUCCAUCUGCACAUCACCUCCGUCUUCUUCGGCAGCCCAGGUGGACCCAGACCUCCCAGGGUGCCGGUCAGAGCCUCCCCAGCCCCCGCCGAGCCUCCCCUGGACUGGGAGCCUUCUAGAACGUUCUCUGCCCUGCGUUGGCUUCUCAAGCCCAGCAUUGCCAUCACAGAAGACCCUGCCUCCCCCGUGGGCGUGUCAGGCCCCAGCGUGCCUGGCCCCCGCCUCCCGAGAGCUCCCGAGAGCACCCGACGGCUUGUGUCCCCAGCCUGAGCUUCAGGAAGGCAGAGGCCUGGAGCUGCCCCACCAUGAGCCGAGAGCCCGCGCCUGUUAGCCGGGCAAGGCCCGGGCGCCUGCUGCCCCCUGGCACCCGGCGGCCUCGUUUUUGCUUCUGGUUGGGUUUCUUUUCUUUCUUUCUUUUUUUUUUUUAAGCAUUUUUAACAUAUUUAUUUUCAUUACAUUAGAAAGGCAGGCAGAGAGGGAGAGAGACGGAACGUGGCAGAGGGAGCAGCCAGGGCCGGGGCAGGCCCACGGCCGGGGCCCGAGGACACGCGCCAGCGCCAGCGCCUCCGGGGCCGCACCUCAGCAGGAGGUGGGUGUGGAGCAGAGCCGGGACUUGAACCCAGGCGCUCUCGAACCCAAGUGGUGUCUUAGCCGCUGUACCCCAUGUCCGGCCCUCCGGGUGGGCUUCCCAUCCGGAAUGUAAGGUGCGGACCCGUGAGGAUUCUUUCACUUGCAAGUGAAACACAAGAACAGGACAGACAGGGUGCUCACGUCAGCUGGCCCAGCGGUGGCCUCAGCCGGGCCCGGCCCUGGAGCCGGAUCCGCCACCCUCACUGGGUUGGGACGUUUUCUUUGCGCAUGUGCCUCCUGUUACAAGACGGCUGCUGGAGUCCCACUCUCCGUCAUCACACCACGGCAUCCAGAGACACAGGGAGGGAACAGGGCUGCUUUCCAACACACACACACACACCCGUCUGUGCGUCUCCCUCUCUGGCCGUCGGGCAGGCUCGUCUUGUGAAAGUCGUCAGAACACACAGUCACGUUGUCAAGCCUUAACCAAAAUAAAGCCAGGAGUUGAUUAGAGCUGGGUGGGGGU